RNAcentral lists this ribosomal RNA (473 nucleotides) under uncultured bacterium. RNAcentral's name for it is "bacterial SSU rRNA". It matches the Rfam family "Bacterial small subunit ribosomal RNA", at positions 28 to 523 of the family's 1533-position model. The record is from RNAcentral.
GAUGAACGCUAGCGGCAGGCCUAAUACAUGCAAGUCGAGGGGCAGCAGUACUUUUCGGAGUAGCUGGCGACCGGCGCACGGGUGCGUAACGCGUAUGCAAUCUACCCACAGCAGAGGGAUAGCCCGUGGAAACAUGGAUUAAUACCUCAUAACACAGGGAGCCCACCUGGGCAUAUUGUUAAAGCUACGGCGGCAGUGGAUGAGCAUGCGUCCCAUUAGUUAGUUGGUACGGUAACGGCGUACCAAGACGAUGAUGGGUAGGGGUUCUGAGAGGAUGAUCCCCCACACUGGUACUGAGAUACGGACCAGACUCCUACGGGAGGCAGCAGUAGGGAAUUUUCCGCAAUGGGCGAAAGCCUGACGGAGCAAUACCGCGUGAGGGAUGACGGCCUAUGGGUUGUAAUUUUUGGAGGAAUCAAUGACGUGUACCUGAAGAAUAAGCAUCGGCUAACUCCGUGCCAGCAGCGCGGUAA